GACUUCAUGGUGUAGUGGAAUCACAAUCUGUCUAACACACAGAAGGUCCCCAGAUCGAAACUGGUGAAGUCA
Molecule: transfer RNA, 72 nt
Filed under: Pleodorina starrii
Lineage: Eukaryota; Viridiplantae; Chlorophyta; Chlorophyceae; Chlamydomonadales; Volvocaceae
Description: tRNA-Val
Source: RNAcentral